GCCAGCAAGAGAGCAGAAGCAGGAAGAAAGCCAGCCGGAAGACACCUACCCUGGCCGGAAGACACGUACCCCCGAAGAUCGAGAAAGAGGCUGUCCGGGUAGUAUGUAGCAGUCACGUCAGACUGAGACACUUCUUGUUUACAGGAGACCAUAAAACCCCUGCCCCAUCCUCAUUUGGUGCUGAGGCCGUUUUAGGCCUCAGCCCGCCUGUACCCAGGCACUCAUUAAAACAGCGUGUUGCUCCACAGGGCCUCGUGUUGUCUGUUGGCACGCUCUUGGGCUUGGAACCGAUACAAGAACCUUACAAUGAGGUGGAAGAGAGAAGCACGGCAGGAUUGUGCACAAAGUCUUGUCUGUUGUGGAAUGGAGUUUGGACCUUUCCCACCACUUUCAAGGAAGGGAAUGAAUUGACCUGGUUCACUUCCUAAGAAGGCUACUGUCUGUGUGGUGCUCCUAGAGGCAUGGGAGAGGAGUGAAGACAGAGAUGACCAAAGAAACACUUGGGGAAAGAAUGGAAGCGGCAUGUGUUAGCUUGGGAAAGGGAAACAUACCAGCAUCCGAGAUCUGGCCAUCAGGGAGAAUAACAAACACUGACGGUGGCAAGAUAAAGAGAAGAUUCGAAGAUGGCUCCAGGUCUCCAGCCAGGAAGAUGCUGAUGACAGCAGUGCCAGGAGUUGGAACAGGAAAUGGAAGAUGCCUAAUGACUGCUUAGAGAAGGAAAGAAGGAAAACCCAAUGAAUCUAAAGAAUCGAGAUAGACUGAGUUCCCUACACCAAAUGGCUCACGUACGAAAGGAACCAUUGUCUUCUAAAAACUGACCCUUGGCUAUGUGUGCUGCCAGUCACUCCUGGGGGUUGGGGCAGACCAGGCCCACUGCUACCUCAUCUUCCUUCUAGCCUGAGCUUCUGUUGAUGUCAUCCCUGUCGGACCCUGGAUGAGAAAGAAAACGGGAACAACACGAGGAAGACGAGACAUCUUCCCCAGUGAGAAAUCUGCAAGUGUGCCAUUUUAGAGUUC
This 1017-nucleotide long non-coding RNA is filed under the name Homo sapiens (human). Its description in RNAcentral is "HSALNT0160701". Lineage: Eukaryota; Metazoa; Chordata; Mammalia; Primates; Hominidae. The record is from RNAcentral.